RNAcentral lists this ribosomal RNA (228 nucleotides) under uncultured bacterium. RNAcentral describes it as "partial 16S ribosomal RNA". It matches the Rfam family "Bacterial small subunit ribosomal RNA", at positions 568 to 795 of the family's 1533-position model. The record is from RNAcentral.
UCCGUAGGCGGGUUUUUAAGUCAGUGGUGAAAGCCUACAGCUUAACUGUAGAAUUGCCGUUGAUACUGGAAGCCUUGAGUAUAGUUGAAGUGGGCGGAAUACGUCAUGUAGCGGUGAAAUGCAUAGAUAUGACGUAGAACACCUAUUGCGAAGGCAGCUCACUAAGCUAAAACUGACGCUGAGGGACGAAAGCGUGGGGAGCAAACAGGAUUAGAUACCCUGGUAGUC